Molecule: long non-coding RNA, 211 nt
Filed under: Elaeis guineensis (African oil palm)
Lineage: Eukaryota; Viridiplantae; Streptophyta; Magnoliopsida; Arecales; Arecaceae
Description: long non-coding RNA (EGUI_LNC015353)
Source: RNAcentral
GCUUGACCAAACCUAGUAUGAGAUUUUAAGGAGAAAAACACGACCCGUGUGGGAGAUACAACACAAGGAGAGGAUCUACUUCUUUCUUUCUUUCUUUCUUUCUUCUUUUUUCUGAAAAAAAUGGAAGCCAUGAAUUGUAUUUGUAACUUAAAUAUUAAGGUUGUCUCCUUUUUUGAAGCAAUGAACAUCCUUAAACUUUUUUCUUUCUUCC